GAUGAUCAAGGAUGACGUGCCCUUAGCCUCAUAGCUCCAUGCUAGCUCCCGUAAUUAGUACUGCUCGGUUGUUCCCGGUUUAGCAGUGGCGACCUUCUACACCCGCUGUCAAUAGGAGCUCCCAAAGAUAAACAUCACUCGCGUUCAUAGGAUUUUCACAACGACAACGACUAAAGACUCAACCGGCAAAUUGGAGAAAGGCUAUUCAUUACAUGCCAUGUGUAUAUUUGCAACUACCAAGCGAUCCGCCAGGCCGUAUCCAAAUCUCUCGUGGCAUACUACCAGAAAUAUGUGGAUGAAGCCUCUAAGAAGUAAAUCUGACAUCCUGAUCCAGUACCACAGGACCCUGUUGGUGGCCGACUCCCGCCGCUGCAAGUCCAACAAGUUUGGUGGACCUGGAGCCUGCGCUUGCUAGCAGAAGUCUUACUGUUAAAAAUGCAAUCUUCAUUUUUAUAUACAAUAAAAAUAAAUAUGGGCCAAAUCA
Long non-coding RNA from Anguilla rostrata (American eel), 484 nucleotides. RefSeq lists it as uncharacterized. The record is from RefSeq and is a predicted model, not a curated record. The transcript is spliced from 3 exons. NCBI's taxonomy places the organism in Eukaryota, Metazoa, Chordata, Actinopteri, Anguilliformes, Anguillidae.